UUUCAUACAUGUGACUUAAUUAUUUUGGCAGAAUAACUAGCUCUUGCAGGAUUGGAUUUCUGUCCGAGUCAGAUAACUUUGCCUUUAGGAUAUCAAAGGAACAUGCUUUGAUCACUGUAUUAAUUAUCAAGUUGAGUAACUCUCAACAUAUGGCCUAGCGUCAAUAAAGUGAGUGAAAAUCAUGAAAGAUGAGGGUUCUAAUUUAAAAAAAGUGACGAG
Molecule: long non-coding RNA, 219 nt
Filed under: Nicotiana benthamiana
Lineage: Eukaryota; Viridiplantae; Streptophyta; Magnoliopsida; Solanales; Solanaceae
Description: long non-coding RNA (NBEN_LNC010703)
Source: RNAcentral